RNAcentral lists this long non-coding RNA (723 nucleotides) under Elaeis guineensis (African oil palm). Its description in RNAcentral is "long non-coding RNA (EGUI_LNC032025)". The record is from RNAcentral. Lineage: Eukaryota; Viridiplantae; Streptophyta; Magnoliopsida; Arecales; Arecaceae.
UCUCUUACUACAUGAAUCAACAUUUUGACUUUUGACUUAUCUUGGCUGGGAUGUGAGGGCCAAAGAAAAAUUGAAAGAAACGAAAAGAGAUUAGAUUCUAACCAGUAUAUGGUGAUUGACAUGUUGAACCACUCUUUAACGCCUACUAUCAUAGAAAUUGGUUUCAACAUUUAAUAAGGAACUCAUGUAACUUGAUUGAUAUAUUGUUAACUUAAUGACAGCUCAGAAUAUUUAAGCCAGUACGAUAAGGCCUCAUUUUUAACCUAUAAAUGUACCUUAUCCACGAGCUAUCCUAUAAACAAGUGUAACUUAUGAGUCCUUGUAGAUUGAUUUACUGGAGUGGAGGCCAGCAAUGUGAGAAGUCUUGAUUGUUUUAUUCUGUAUCCUGAAGUUCCUGACAUUGGAGGAUCAAAUGCAUCCUGUGUACGCUUUUCAAUGACCCACCUCUAGGUGCAAUUUUAUACACAUAAAAGAGUCAGGGAUAUGUGAAGCCCCGAAACUCAUGUCCGAUUUCUUUUGCUGUCUUUCGGUUGCAGAGUUCAUGUGCUUACAUGAAGGAUGUCAAAAGGAUUGAGCAUGCAGCAGAUACCCAUCACCUGAACAAAAGCAUGUUUUUCUCUAAGAAACAACAGUUUACAGAAGGGCACUUAAAAAUGAACCGAGAAACAUUACCUACUAAAAAUCGUUUCUAGAGGACUACACAUCACUAACACUCGAGCAAGG